Molecule: small RNA, 134 nt
Filed under: Salmonella enterica
Lineage: Bacteria; Pseudomonadati; Pseudomonadota; Gammaproteobacteria; Enterobacterales; Enterobacteriaceae
Also listed under: 4 other names
Description: RtT sRNA
Rfam family: RtT RNA
About the family: This family represents a bacterial cis-regulatory element known as RtT RNA. The exact function of RtT is unknown although it is thought that it may be involved in changing the cellular response in relation to amino acid starvation.
Source: RNAcentral
UGUAUCUGAAGUCUGACGAGGAUGAGAACCUCCGGGGGCAAGAGGUUCGACUCGAGCGGAGCGAGAGAACGUUGCGCAAGCAACGGCCCGCAGGGCGAGCCACGCAGUGGCGAGUCAUCCUCUAUCACCGACCA